This 26-nucleotide non-coding RNA is filed under the name Rattus norvegicus (Norway rat). Lineage: Eukaryota; Metazoa; Chordata; Mammalia; Rodentia; Muridae. The record is from RNAcentral.
GGCUUACCCGAUAAAGCAGUGAGCAG